RNAcentral lists this transfer RNA (77 nucleotides) under Rhodospirillaceae bacterium. RNAcentral describes it as "tRNA-Arg". It matches the Rfam family "tRNA". From Rfam's summary of the family: Transfer RNA (tRNA) molecules are approximately 80 nucleotides in length. Their secondary structure includes four short double-helical elements and three loops (D, anti-codon, and T loops). RNAcentral also lists the same sequence under 1 other name. The record is from RNAcentral. Lineage: Bacteria; Pseudomonadati; Pseudomonadota; Alphaproteobacteria; Rhodospirillales; Rhodospirillaceae.
GGUCCCGUAGCUCAGCUGGAUAGAGCGCUGCCCUCCGAAGGCAGAGGUCACAGGUUCGACUCCUGUCGGGACCGCCA